This 253-nucleotide ribosomal RNA is filed under the name uncultured bacterium. RNAcentral's name for it is "partial 16S ribosomal RNA". It matches the Rfam family "Bacterial small subunit ribosomal RNA", at positions 524 to 776 of the family's 1533-position model. The record is from RNAcentral.
UACGUAGGGUCCGAGCGUUGUCCGGAAUUACUGGGCGUAAAGAGCUCGUAGGUGGUUUGUCGCGUUGUUCGUGAAAACUCACAACUCAAUUGUGGGCGUGCGGGCGAUACGGGCAGACUUGAGUACUGCAGGGGAGACUGGAAUUCCUGGUGUAGCGGUGGAAUGCGCAGAUAUCAGGAGGAACACCGAUGGCGAAGGCGGCCUGCUGGGCUAUGGCUGACACUGAGGCGCGACAGCGUGGGGAGCAAACAGG